Molecule: ribosomal RNA, 902 nt
Filed under: uncultured bacterium
Lineage: Bacteria
Description: bacterial SSU rRNA
Rfam family: Bacterial small subunit ribosomal RNA
Source: RNAcentral
AGAGUUUGAUGGUGGCUCAGGAUGAACGCUAGCGGCAGGCCUAAUACAUGCAAGUCGAACGGUAAGUCCCUGCUUGCAGGGAACACGAGUGGCGCACGGGUGCGUAACGCGUAUGCAACCUACCUUCAACAGGAGGAUAGCCCCGAGAAAUCGGGAUUAAUACUCCAUAAUGAUAUGAACUGGCAUCGGUUUAUAUUUAAAGCUCCGGCGGUUGAAGAUGGGCAUGCGUGACAUUAGUUAGUUGGUGAGGUAACGGCUCACCAAGGCAACGAUGUCUAGGGGUUCUGAGAGGAUUAUCCCCCACACUGGUACUGAGACACGGACCAGACUCCUACGGGAGGCAGCAGUAAGGAAUAUUGGUCAAUGGACGCAAGUCUGAACCAGCCAUGCCGCGUGCAGGAUGACGGCCCUAUGGGUUGUAAACUGCUUUUAUUUACCAAGAAACCUAUUUACGUGUAAGUAGCUGACGGUAGUAAAUGAAUAAGCACCGGCUAACUCCGUGCCAGCAGCCGCGGUAAUACGGAGGGUGCAAGCGUUAUCCGGAUUUAUUGGGUUUAAAGGGUGCGCAGGCGGAUGAUUAAGUCAGUGGUGAAAGCCCACAGCUCAACUGUGGAACUGCCAUUGAUACUGAUUAUCUUGAGUAUAGUUGUAGUAGGCGGAAUAUGUCAUGUAGCGGUGAAAUGCUUAGAUAUGACAUAGAACACCGAUCGCGAAGGCAGCUUACUAAGCUAUAACUGACGCUCAGGCACGAAAGCGUGGGGAGCAAACAGGAUUAGAUACCCUGGUAGUCCACGCCGUAAACGAUGAUAACUCGAUGUUGGCGAUACACAGUCAGCGUCCAAGCGAAAGCGUUAAGUUAUCCACCUGGGGGAGUACGAUCGCAAGGUUGAAACUCAAAGGGA